RNA transcript from Populus euphratica (Euphrates poplar), 1912 nucleotides. RefSeq lists it as uncharacterized. The transcript is spliced from 5 exons. The record is from RefSeq and is a predicted model, not a curated record. Lineage: Eukaryota; Viridiplantae; Streptophyta; Magnoliopsida; Malpighiales; Salicaceae.
UGAAAAAAUUAAUCAAAAAUUGUUGGUACAACGAAAAUGACACCAAACUACCCAUCAAUCUCAACAUUCUUUGAAAUUCGUUACAUUUCUCAAUGUUUUCUUUAUUUUGUGCAGCUCAAUUUGUGUCCACAAGAUAACAGGGCCGUUGUCAAUCAACCAAUGAGGAUGCACAAAGUGGGAAAAAACUAUUUGCCGUUAGACAAAUUCUACACAAGUUGACAAACAAAAUGGAAGCAUGGAGAAGAACAUGAGAGAUGCUUCUUGUUACCCUCGGAAUCUUCACUUGGAUCAGGUUUAUUGCUUUGUUAGAGCAGUAGAGGUGAUUGAUCAAAGAAAAGUUGGAUAUUUUGGUCUUACUGAUUUCCUAUUUUUUGAGGUGCCUGACCGAAAGUACAUGUUGUUUGGAGGAAUGAAUGAAAGAUUAUAAAAUGGAUGAUGGGGAGGUAGAGGUUUCGGAUCAUGUUUUGUUACCGGAUCCCGGUGCUUCUGGAAGUUUGCAGUGUUCUGGGUCUGUGGAUUCACUUCUCGAUGAAUUAUUGAAGAAUACGAGAACAUGCACUCACACUCACACUUGCAACCCUCCUGGCCCCGAUGCAAUCCAUACACAUACAUGCUACCACACACACACCCAAGUCAUUGCUUCUGAAGAAGAUGUUAACCCAGACAAUAGAGAGCAUUCAAGAAAAAGGCCAGCAGGAAAUAGGGAAGCAGUUCGAAAGUAUAGGGAAAAGAAGAAGGCACAUACAGCUUACUUAGAAGAGGAAAUAAAGAAAUUGCAUUUAUUGAACCAGCAGCUGGUGAAGAAAAUACAACGGCAGGCAAUUCUUGAAGCCGAGGUUUUGAGGCUAAGAAGCAUUCUGGUGGACCUGAGGGGAAAGAUCGACACUGAGUUGGGUGUUUUUCCAUUCCAAAACCAGUGCAACACCACCACUGUUUUGAAGGAAGGUGAUUGUGGAGCGCAGUCCACUGGUGGGCUAAUGAAUCUACAGUGUCAGUCAGAUUCACCAUGCUUCCGUACCCCUACAAUAGUAAAUUGUCAAGCUAACACAAAUAAUACGGCAGAUGCUGCAAUGGACAUGGUGGAAGCCAUCGUGCCAUCUGCCUCUCAAGCUCAAUAACCAGAGGGAAAGACAAUAUCUGUAGUUAAUAGAGCAUGCUCCUCGAUUGCUAUGAUGCAGAGGCUGGCAUCCUCUGCUUGAUGAAAUGAGUGAGAAUUAGAUCAAAAUCUGGAAGAGCAGCUACUCUUUUGCGCUAGGGUACCUACUGAUUCAACACUAACUACAAAACCAAGUCACCAGUAAGAUGAAUGAAAGCUAAUUCAAAAUUGCGGCAACUGCAAAGCAGAUAUGAGCGUAGAGAAAAUGAAGACAUUAAUGGCAGAGAGUGGGGAGAGCAAUGGACGGUAUUCUACUGUUCUAAAACAUUCAACACUCAGAGGCUCACAGGGCUGAAAUUCGGAUGAAACAAUGGACUAGAGGUUUGACAGCCCACAAGGUUCAACUGUAAAGCUAGGCUAGUCCUAGGGCAAACCAGGAUGGCUGUUGGACUCGUUUCUUUGAGAUGGGUCAGUUUCAUCUGCACAAAAUGGCCUUGUAUAAGUUCAAUUGGGCGAGGAAAACAACCUGGGCCGCUUUCUAUAGGUAUUGAGGGGGAUUCCAAGCAGAUAGAUUGAAUCACAGAUGGGAUCAGAGCAGUGAAUGGUACUAUUUAAUACCUGCAGGAUCUUGUCAGGUUUUAAAGAUACCCUCCACGAUCUUGUUUGUUGUUUCCUGAUUAACAAAAUGUCCGUGUAAUGUUAAGAAACAUGAGCAACUUGGUGGUGCCCUGCUGCUAUUUAACUAACCACCAACAAACUAUUUGUAAAGACUUGAAGCAACAUUAAUAAACCCUAGAAUCAGAGGUAUCAUCACCA